Cygnus olor (mute swan) is the source of this 1136-nucleotide long non-coding RNA. RefSeq lists it as uncharacterized. The transcript is spliced from 5 exons. NCBI's taxonomy places the organism in Eukaryota, Metazoa, Chordata, Aves, Anseriformes, Anatidae. The record is from RefSeq and is a predicted model, not a curated record.
GCAAGCUAGAGGAGCAGGCUUACUGCAAAGACAGUCAGAGAGAAGAGAUUGCACCUUGUCUGGGAAUAGCAGCUGCUUUCAGUUCUCCUUUCCUUUCAUCAUUCUGCCAGAGGCACAGCUCCUGCUCGCUGCAGGCGAGAAGCAUGCUGCAUGUUUGCAAAGAGAAAAGUUGCUGAGAAGUGAAGAUGGAUGGAUGCUGCCUGUUUGCUCUUACGACUGCAGCAAAUAACUUCAGCCUGUGACUCCUACGUACACUGCUGGGGGGAGUCCUUCCUGCAAGCAGCUGAAGGAAGGUGGAAUUUGCCAAGUAGACUCUGGGCAAAUCUUGCACCCUGAGGUGGGAGCUGGUUCUCCCACAUCCCACAGCAGUGCUGCAGGAAGCAUCUCAUGGUAGGAGGAACGAGGGGAGCAUCACCUCCAGCUGCAGGGUGGCCCCUGGCCUUCACAGUAUUUUCCCAUCAGAGCACCAUCCAGUAACAUCCCACCGCAAAGAGGGGCAGAGCUGCCUCCUGCCUAGAAGCAGAGGCAUUCUGAUUUUCUCACCUGGUCCCAGCACUGGCUGUUUACAGCGUGUGCUGCUUGCUUGCAGAGGGCUUGCAGGGCUGCGCUCCCAUGGAAGAAGAACCAGAGAUGAAAGCAAAUCCUUUCUUAUGGCAUAAUGGCUGGUGGUGAUGAGAAGCUGUUCUCAGGUAGGAUGUGGUCAGCCUGGCUCUCUCUGAGGUCAGUAAAGGAGCAGAAAAUGUCACUUCUCUGAAGCAGUCACCUCUGAUGAUGGCUACUAGAGGUGGCUCUGGGGCCUUUCUUAGAAGAACCUCUGGAACACUAGUAGUUGAUGGACUUUGUAUUGCAAAUUCUGUGCUCCCCACAUCUCCCUGUCCAGGCUUGGAUUAGUAAAGACAUACACACUGAAAACGUCUCCUCUCAGACCUUUGCAUAUUCAGCAUCAGUUUGGUGAAUAAAAUUUCCCUGGUAUCAAGAGAAAUUUUAGCACAGAAUGAGUCAAGAGCUUCCUAAGCACUGUAAGAGAACCACAGUAGGUAACCAAGGUGAGAAAUCUUAUCCUCACGUCUCUCUUAUUCAUGCUGUGAAAGUCUUUAUGAUAAACUUGGUUAAAAUACUUUGUGAAAUAUUAACUA